This 400-nucleotide ribosomal RNA is filed under the name uncultured Spirochaeta sp. RNAcentral describes it as "bacterial SSU rRNA". It matches the Rfam family "Bacterial small subunit ribosomal RNA", at positions 980 to 1382 of the family's 1533-position model. Lineage: Bacteria; Pseudomonadati; Spirochaetota; Spirochaetia; Spirochaetales; Spirochaetaceae. The record is from RNAcentral.
CUUGACAUAUACAGGAAUGUUGUAGAGAUACAGCAGCCGCUUGCGGUCUGUAUACAGGUGCUGCAUGGCUGUCGUCAGCUCGUGCUGUGAAGUGUUGGGUUAAGUCCCGCAACGAGCGCAACCCUAUCAUCUGUUGCCAGCAUUUAAGGUGGGGACUCAGAUGAGACUGCCGGUGACAAACCGGAGGAAGGUGGGGACGACGUCAAGUCAUCAUGGCCCUUAUGUCCUGGGCUACACACGUGCUACAAUGGCCGGUACAGAGUGAAGCGAAACCGCGAGGUGAAGCAAAACGCAGAAAGCCGGUCUCAGUACGGAUUGGAGUCUGAAACUCGACUUCAUGAAGUUGGAAUCGCUAGUAAUCGCGCAUCAGCAUGGCGCGGUGAAUACGUUCCCGGGCCUU